Molecule: long non-coding RNA, 3578 nt
Filed under: Mus musculus (house mouse)
Lineage: Eukaryota; Metazoa; Chordata; Mammalia; Rodentia; Muridae
Description: long non-coding RNA chr16:32388756-32392334
Source: RNAcentral
UUUUUUUUGUUUUUUUUUUUUUGAAAACUGGAAUUGAACUAGAUUAUUAGUUCUUUGUCUUUUCAAGUCAUAGGACUUUGGAUGUUUGAAGUUUUGACCUGAAUAGGGAGUGCUAGGGCCAACUACUAACAGAGUCAAUUUCAUGGAGGAAGUGUAAAUGUGCACCUGGAGUCACAGCCCUACAAAGAACUAUGUCCACCCCAAAGUUUUAAGCAUCUAGUUAUUUAAUGACAUCCUCAGACUAAUUAAAAGUAUACAAACUAUACUUGCUAAGUUUUUCCCUGGAUUCAAGGAUCUUUUGUCCAAUCUUUUACAGACCUCAUUGUAAUGACUGAAAUCCCUCAGUACAGUAGUUACAGAACUAGUGAUCUUUAAACAGCCAGUUAUCUAUUUUUUAAAACUUAAUACUGUAAGCUUAAUGAAUUUUAAAAAUGUCUUAAAUGUAAUGAAUGCAGAACAGAUAAUGUCUCCAAUACUGGAGCUGUAUUUGUGUGCUUUAAGAUAAGGACUGGCAGUUACAAAGCUGAAUUGUGUGAGUUGUGAAGUUCAGAAUUGGUUUGGGCAGAUGUGACCUUUUCAAGAUUUUCAUCAAGUUGAUAUUUAAAAAUAGUUCUUGUCCCAUGGAAUGGAUCUUCAUCUCACCUUUUAGAGCUCCUUCAUUUAUGUACUUGAUAGUAAGUUUCAGAGUACAAAAUUAUGAGUAAUGCCUUGUGUAAAACUAAAACUUGAAAAGUAAUGAGGGUAGGAAGAGCCAGCCCUGUGAGGGCUCACACUUCCCCGGCAGCUUAAACCGUCAGGAGUAGGCUGCUUCUAGGCAAUCACUCUGCCUCCCGAGUUACUCCCAGCCCCUGAACAGACACCUAAAGGCCCUGUGAGCAGGGAGCCAAUUCCAGCGCCACUGGUUUGCCUUACAGAACAUUUCGGUUCUUUACUGUGAAACUUAAGAGUCCCUAGUCCACAUUAGAGUGGGGCAAAAAUGUUCUUCAGAGCUCAGAAUAACCAAAGAGUACCAUUCUAAUAUAUUGAUUUCUUGUAUAACACAGAGAUUUAAAUGCUUCAGUGGUGAUCAUUUGGAUUUUAAACUCACCUUUGCGUCAGUUCUCAUAAUGAGACAGCUUAGAAUUAAAGGUAUUUGGCUUAUUUAAGAACAGAGGUUAUCAUAGCUUUGGUCAAGUUUUGUUUGUUUUGUUUUUAGAGACAGGGUUUCUCUAUGUAAUAACCCUGGCUGUCCUGGGCUCGCUUUGUGGACCAGGCAGGCUGACCUCAAACUCAUAGAGAUCUGCCUGCCAAGUGCUGUGACUAGAGGUCUGUGCCACCACACCUGGCUGGUUAGUUUCUUUAUUAAGGAACUCAGGUGGCUAGAUUAUUGGAUAUGAUGAAACCUGAAGUAGAACAUCAGUUUAAUCCUUUAUCCAUUUGGGGGUGGGAGUGUCUUUUAUUUUGUUUUCAAACGUUCUUACAUAGUUCAGGCUAACCUCUCCUCUCUUUUUUUUUUUUUUUUCUUUGAGAUAAGUUUUCUUUAUCUAGUCCUGGUUGUCCUGGAUCAGGCUGACCUCUUCAGUGACUGUGUAGUUAGUUGAACAUAACCUUGAACCUCUGGGUCCUCCUUGGGUUAAAGUGAGCCACAUGCCUGUCUCUUCUUCAUUCUUUACUUAAUUCCUCUAAAAUUGGUCAUGAAAUUUAAGACACUUAGCUAUGCUUUUAAAAUUAUAUUUCUAAGCCUUAAUGUAUAUUUCUCAUUUUUAUAAAUUAAUAUAGAAGAGAAUAUUUUGAGGCAAACACCGUUUUUACAACUCAUUUCUUCCUAAGGAGAAUUCUUGUUCCAAGUAAGAGAAUGGCUGGCUCUGUGAUAAACCUCUAAGGUAGUUGGUUUGGUUGGUUGGUUACAGGUUGCCCUAACUAAAUCUCACCAUUUUCAUAAACAUUUUGUUUUUUAAAAACACAACUCCUGAACCAGUACUUAGUUUCAAGCACAUUCAUUAGCCCAGACUGGCCUGGAGCUCACUAGCCCUAGGUUGGCCUUGAGCUCUUCUGGGAUUAAGCCACUACACCUGGUUUAACCUGAUUAAUUUUGACCAUGUUUUUAAUAUGGCCUGUAUGCCAUAUAAUUCCAAAAUAAACUUGGGUGAUCCAUAUAAAUUACUUUAUUAAGCAUAAUGAAGAAGUUAUUAAAAUUUGCUUGUGGGAUUGGAGAGAUAGCUGUUAGCUUAGCAGGUAAGACCACUUGUUCUUGCAGAAGUCCUAGGUUUGAGUCCCAGCAACCAUAUAGCUGCCCACAACUGUCUAUAACUCCAGUUCCAAGCAAUGCAACUGUUCUGAGUCUGAGGCCACCAGGCACGCACACAGGAAGGAAGCUGAGGCAAGAGGAUUGCUAGUUCCAUGUCAACCUGAAGUUACAUACCAAAACCUUAACUCAAAAUCCUCUUUGUCUCUCCCUUCUUUAAUACACCCGUGGUUUGCUGUGCCGUGUGUUUGUACAUUGCAUUGCUCUUCUAACCCCAAUUAAAUAUCACUAUCCUUUCAAGAAUUACAAUUAAAGCUAUUAACAUGCCACAUGCAGGUGUCUACAUUAACACAAGUCUCAUUGCUCUGAAAGAAAAUAGUGAGAUAUAGAAGCAUUGGUUUAUAUUUUGCUUAUGCUUGGUUUCAUAAGAAGCCAGCGGGUGAGAUGGCUCAGCAGUUAAGAGCACUUGCUGCUCUUGUAGAGGCCCUGGGUGGGUUUAGUUCUCAGUCCUCACACAGUGGGCCACCACCAUCCAUAACUCCAGCUCCAGGGGAUCCAGUGCUGUCUUCUGACCUCUGAAGACUUCUAUACCACUAGACAUGCAGGCAAAACAGUCAUAUGUACAAAAUAAAUGGAAACAAAACAUGUGUUUAAAGACUUGCUCGUAUAUUAGGGAUGUGAAUCCAAUGGUAGUAUUCUACCUAAGAACAGUCACAUUGCUCUAUAGGUAUGGGAAGUAAAUUGCUGCACUUAAUUCUUUGGCAGUAAGCAGCAGACCUUUAAUGUGUAAUGGUACGUCUAGCAACUAAGAUCUUAUAUGCCUUAUGAGGUCACUUAGGUUUUUAAAUGAGAAAGAGAAGAGUCAAGCUAAACUAGAAUAAUAGGACAUACCUAAUGAGCUGUCUUCACCAGACGAGAAGCUAUGGGCUGGUGUGUAGCUCAGGACCCUUGUUUGGAUCCCCAGGGUUACUAAGAAGAAAAGUUUUUAAUCUAACUGGGACAGUGAGAGUCCUGUAUUGGCCAUCAAAAAUUGGGAACUGUUUUAAAUGAGAUAAGUUCUGACCUAAAAUUGAAUUUUCCUUUUCUCAAAAUUUUUUAUAUUUACUCUUAUUCAUGGUCUCAUCUGGGAAUCUUAACUAAUAGGGAGCCAUUCACUAACUCCUUGGUUUCUUUCCUGCAUCAAGAUAACUGAUGGUAUAGUAUGUGUCACCAGAAUGAUUUUCAGGCUAAUGACAUUAGAAUAUUUAUAUUCAGCUGGAAAUCUUGUUUUCAACAGAAUGAGUUUAUGGUAUGCUUUUCUCAAAGCUGCUAUGUUCUCAAUGAAAAAUAAUCAAUAAAUACUAAGUCAUAUGAC